Molecule: ribosomal RNA, 253 nt
Filed under: uncultured bacterium
Lineage: Bacteria
Description: partial 16S ribosomal RNA
Rfam family: Bacterial small subunit ribosomal RNA
Source: RNAcentral
GACGAACCGUGCGAACGUUGUUCGGAAUCACUGGGCUUAAAGGGCGCGUAGGCGGGGAGGUAAGUCAGGGGUGAAAGCCCACGGCCCAACCGUGGAAGUGCCUUUGAUACUGCCUGUCUCGAGGGAGGUAGGGGCGUGCGGAACUUCCGGUGGAGCGGUGAAAUGCGUAGAUAUCGGAAGGAACACCCGUGGCGAAGGCGGCUUCCUGGGGCCAUCCUGACACUGAGAAGCGAAAGCUAGGGGAGCGAACGGG